This 396-nucleotide ribosomal RNA is filed under the name uncultured bacterium. RNAcentral's name for it is "bacterial SSU rRNA". It matches the Rfam family "Bacterial small subunit ribosomal RNA", at positions 28 to 428 of the family's 1533-position model. The record is from RNAcentral.
GACGAACGCUGGCGGCGUGCUUAACACAUGCAAGUCGAGCGGUAAGGCCCUUUCGGGGGUACGACGAGCGGCGAACGGGUGAGUAACACGUGGGUGACCUGCCCUCAGCUCUGGGAUAAGCCUGGGAAACCGGGUCUAAUACUGGAUAUGACUCCAUGACGCAUGUUGUGGGGUGGAAAGCCUUGUGCGGCUGAGGAUGGGCCCGCGGCCUAUCAGCUUGUUGGUGGGGUGAGGCCUACCAAGGCGACGACGGGUAGCCGGCCUGAGAGGGCGACCGGCCACACUGGGACUGAGACACGGCCCAGACUCCUACGGGAGGCAGCAGUGGGGAAUCUUGCGCAAUGGACGAAAGCCUGACGCAGCGACGCCGCGUGAGGGAUGACGGCCUGGUUGUAA